GCGGGUGUCGCCAAGUGGUAAGGCCCGAGCUUCCCAAGCUCGUAUCCGCGGGUUCGAGUCCCGUCACCCGCUCCA
RNAcentral lists this transfer RNA (75 nucleotides) under Coriobacteriia bacterium. Its description in RNAcentral is "tRNA-Gly". It matches the Rfam family "tRNA". From Rfam's summary of the family: Transfer RNA (tRNA) molecules are approximately 80 nucleotides in length. Their secondary structure includes four short double-helical elements and three loops (D, anti-codon, and T loops). Lineage: Bacteria; Bacillati; Actinomycetota; Coriobacteriia. The record is from RNAcentral.